This 397-nucleotide long non-coding RNA is filed under the name Hordeum vulgare. RNAcentral's name for it is "long non-coding RNA (HVUL_LNC006897)". The record is from RNAcentral. Lineage: Eukaryota; Viridiplantae; Streptophyta; Magnoliopsida; Poales; Poaceae.
UUAUAGGUAACGUAUGCUCUAAAUGCUAGUAAAUGCACCCGGAAACGUACAACAGUUUCCCUCCAGAGAGGUUACGACGUACCGAGUGUAUCCAGUCGGUAGGCCCGGUGCUCUCCGAAUGUUAGUCUCCGACUGGAUGAUUCUGGGCCUGUUACCGACUGGAUGAUGGGGGCACCUUAAUUCAGUCGGGGCAUACUUAAAGUCCUGUCCCUUGUGUGGGGUAGUCCUUGGGUAGGACAUGUAGGGCAGGCCUAUGACCCUACCCUAGGACUAUGACCCCAUCAUUAGUCCCCGAAUGGAUUGGGGUUGAAACGUCGAAGCAGUGCUCGAGGUUCAGAUCCGACUGGACUAGGUUCGGCUUGGGCGUUGCUUGCCUCUAUCUAUUUUAUCUCUCCUG